Molecule: ribosomal RNA, 301 nt
Filed under: uncultured bacterium
Lineage: Bacteria
Description: partial 16S ribosomal RNA
Rfam family: Bacterial small subunit ribosomal RNA
Source: RNAcentral
CAGUCGCCGCGGGAAUACGGAGGGCGCGAGCGUUACCCGGAUUUACUGGGCGUAAAGGGCGUGUAGGCGGCCUGGGGCGUCUCAUGUGAAAGGCCACGGCUCAACCGUGGAGGAGCGUGGGAUACGCUCAGGCUAGAGGGUGGGAGAGGGUGGUGGAAUUCCCGGAGUAGCGGUGAAAUGCGCAGAUACCGGGAGGAACGCCGAUGGCGAAGGCAGCCACCUGGUCCACUUCUGACGCUGAGGCGCGAAAGCGUGGGGAGCAAACCGGAUUAGAUACCCCCGUAGUCCCUGUCUCUUAUAC